Molecule: ribosomal RNA, 468 nt
Filed under: uncultured bacterium
Lineage: Bacteria
Description: partial 16S ribosomal RNA
Rfam family: Bacterial small subunit ribosomal RNA
Source: RNAcentral
GACGAACGCUGGCGGCGUGCUUAACACAUGCAAGUCGAACGGAAAGGCCCUGCUUUUGUGGGGUGCUCGAGUGGCGAACGGGUGAGUAACACGUGAGUAACCUGCCCUUGACUUUGGGAUAACUUCAGGAAACUGGGGCUAAUACCGGAUAGGAGCUCCUGCUGCAGGGUGGGGGUUGGAAAGUUUCGGCGGUUGGGGAUGGACUCGCGGCUUAUCAGCUUGUUGGUGGGGUAGUGGCUUACCAAGGCUUUGACGGGUAGCCGGCCUGGGAGGGUGACCGGCCACAUUGGGACUGAGAUACGGCCCAGACUCCUACGGUAGGCAGCAGUGGGGAAUAUUGCACAGUGGGCGGAAGCCUGAUGCAGCAACGCCGCGUGCGGGAUGACGGCCUUCGGGUUGUAAACCGCUGCCGCCUGUGACGAAGCGUGAGUGACGGUAAUGGGUAAAGAAGCACCGGCUAACUACGUG